UAGCUAGUUGGUGAGGUAAAGGCUUACCAAGGCGACGAUCUGUAGCGGGUCUGAGAGGAUGAUCCGCCACACUGGAACUGAGACACGGUCCAGACUCCUACGGGAGGCAGCAGUGGGGAAUUUUGGACAAUGGCGGCAACCCUGAUCCAGCCAUGCCGCGUGAGUGAAGAAGGCCUUCGGGUUGUAAAGCUCUUUCGGCCGGGAAGAAAUCGCAUGGGCCAAUACCCUGUGUGGAUGACGGUACCGGAAUAAGAAGCACCGGCUAACUACGUGCCAGCAGCCGCGGUAAUACGUAGGGUGCGAGCGUUAAUCGGAAUUACUGGGCGUAAAGCGUGCGCAGGCGGUUUUGUAAGACAGGCGUGAAAUCCCCGGGCUUAACCUGGGAACUGCGUUUGUGACUGCAAGGCUAGAGUACGGCAGAGGGGGGUGGAAUUCCACGUGUAGCAGUGAAAUGCGUAGAGAUGUGGAGGAGCACCAAUGGCGAAGGCAGCCCCCUGGGUCGAUACUGACGCUCAUGCACGAAAGCGUGGGUAGCAAACAGGAUUAGAUACCCUGGUAGUCCACGCCCUAAACUAUGUCAACUAGGUGUUGGGUGGGUAAAACCAUUUAGUACCGUAGCUAACGCGUGAAGUUGACCGCCUGGGGAGUACGGCCGCAAGGUUAAAACUCAAAGGAAUUGACGGGGACCCGCACAAGCGGUGGAUGAUGUGGAUUAAUUCGAUGCAACGCGAAAAACCUUACCUACCCUUGACAUGCCAGGAACUUGCCAGAGAUGGCUUGGUGCCCGAAAGGGAGCCUGGACACAGGUGCUGCAUGGCUGUCGUCAGCUCGUGUCGUGAGAUGUUGGGUUAAGUCCCGCAACGAGCGCAACCCUUGUCGUUAAUUGCCAUCAUUUAGUUGGGCACUUUAACGAGACUGCCGGUGACAAACCGGAGGAAGGUGGGGAUGACGUCAAGUCCUCAUGGCCCUUAUGGGUAGGGCUUCACACGUCAUACAAUGGUCGGUACAAAGGGUUGCCAAGCCGCGAGGCGGAGCCAAUCCCAGAAAGCCGAUCGUAGUCCGGAUUGCAGGCUGCAACUCGCCUGCACGAAGUCGGAAUCGCUAGUAAUCGUGGAUCAGCAUGUCACGGUGAAUACGUUCCCGGGUCUUGUACACACCGCCCGUCACACCAUGGGAGCGGGUUCCGCCAGAAGUAGGUAGCCUAACCGCAAGGGGGGCGCUUACCACGGCGGGGUCCGUGACUGGGGUGAAGUCGGAACAAGGUAGCCGUAGGGGAACCUGCGGCUG
Molecule: ribosomal RNA, 1287 nt
Filed under: metagenome
Description: bacterial SSU rRNA
Rfam family: Bacterial small subunit ribosomal RNA
Source: RNAcentral